GGCCUGCGCGGAAGAUGUAACGGGGCUAAACCAUGCACCGAAGCUGCGGCAGCGACGCUUAUGCGUUGUUGGGUAGGGGAGCGUUCUGUAAGCCUGCGAAGGUGGCCUGUGAGGGUUGCUGGAGGUAUCAGAAGUGCGAAUGCUGACAUAAGUAACGAUAAAGCGGGUGAAAAGCCCGCUCGCCGGAAGACCAAGGGUUCCUGUCCAACGUUAAUCGGGGCAGGGUGAGUCGACCCCUAAGGCGAGGCCGAAAGGCGUAGUCGAUGGGAAACGGGUUAAUAUUCCCGUACUUGGUGUUACUGCGAAGGGGGGACGGAGAAGGCUAUGUUGGCCGGGCGACGGUUGUCCCGGUUUAAGCGUGUAGGUGUGUGUUCCAGGUAAAUCCGGUUCACUUUAACACUGAGGCGUGACGACGAGGCACUACGGUGCUGAAGCAACAAAUGCCCUGCUUCCAGGAAAAGCCUCUAAGCAUCAGGUAACAUCAAAUCGUACCCCAAACCGACACAGGUGGUCAGGUAGAGAAUACCAAGGCGCUUGAGAGAACUCGGGUGAAGGAACUAGGCAAAAUGGUGCCGUAACUUCGGGAGAAGGCACGCUGACAUGUAGGUGAAGUGAUUUACUCAUGGAGCUGAAGUCAGUCGAAGAUACCAGCUGGCUGCAACUGUUUAUUAAAAACACAGCACUGUGCAAACACGAAAGUGGACGUAUACGGUGUGACGCCUGCCCGGUGCCGGAAGGUUAAUUGAUGGGGUCAGCGCAAGCGAAGCUCCUGAUCGAAGCCCCGGUAAACGGCGGCCGUAACUAUAACGGUCCUAAGGUAGCGAAAUUCCUUGUCGGGUAAGUUCCGACCUGCACGAAUGGCGUAAUGAUGGCCAGGCUGUCUCCACCCGAGACUCAGUGAAAUUGAACUCGCUGUGAAGAUGCAGUGUACCCGCGGCAAGACGGAAAGACCCCGUGAACCUUUACUAUAGCUUGACACUGAACAUUGAGCCUUGAUGUGUAGGAUAGGUGGGAGGCUUUGAAGUGUGGACGCCAGUCUGCAUGGAGCCGACCUUGAAAUACCACCCUUUAAUGUUUGAUGUUCUAACGUGGACCCGUUACCCGGGUUGCGGACAGUGUCUGGUGGGUAGUUUGACUGGGGCGGUCUCCUCCUAAAGAGUAACGGAGGAGCACGAAGGUUGGCUAAUCCUGGUCGGACAUCAGGAGGUUAGUGCAAUGGCAUAAGCCAGCUUGACUGCGAGCGUGACGGCGCGAGCAGGUGCGAAAGCAGGUCAUAGUGAUCCGGUGGUUCUGAAUGGAAGGGCCAUCGCUCAACGGAUAAAAGGUACUCCGGGGAUAACAGGCUGAUACCGCCCAAGAGUUCAUAUCGACGGCGGUGUUUGGCACCUCGAUGUCGGCUCAUCACAUCCUGGGGCUGAAGUAGGUCCCAAGGGUAUGGCUGUUCGCCAUUUAAAGUGGUACGCGAGCUGGGUUUAGAACGUCGUGAGACAGUUCGGUCCCUAUCUGCCGUGGGCGCUGGAGAACUGAGGGGGGCUGCUCCUAGUACGAGAGGACCGGAGUGGACGCAUCACUGGUGUUCGGGUUGUCAUGCCAAUGGCACUGCCCGGUAGCUAAAUGCGGAAGAGAUAAGUGCUGAAAGCAUCUAAGCACGAAACUUGCCCCGAGAUGAGUUCUCCCUGAGACUUAGAGUCUCCUGAAGGAACGUUGAAGACGACGACGUUGAUAGGCCGGGUGUGUAAGCGCAGCGAUGCGUUGAGCUAACCGGUACUAAUGAACCGUGAGGCUUAACC
This 1790-nucleotide ribosomal RNA is filed under the name Salmonella enterica. RNAcentral's name for it is "bacterial LSU rRNA". It matches the Rfam family "Bacterial large subunit ribosomal RNA", at positions 1156 to 2925 of the family's 2925-position model. Lineage: Bacteria; Pseudomonadati; Pseudomonadota; Gammaproteobacteria; Enterobacterales; Enterobacteriaceae. The record is from RNAcentral.